GGCGGCGCGGCGGAGCUCAGCCUCGAUCUCGCGAAACCGAGCGAGACUACGGAAGGCCGAAGGAUUGGGCUCAGCAUUGCUUGGGCUAAAGGCUGACUAGGGCUUCCAGGAAGUGAUGUAUGUGAGAAGUUUGCUUUUUAAAGUGUACGUGGGAUCGUUAUUACGUCGAAAUAGCUCGAGCUGUAACCUAGGGUAAAUAAUAAUUCCUUUUCGUAUUCAUCAAGGUGCUUCUAAGUGCCAGUGCCAGGAGUCUUGCUCUGUUGCCCAGGCUUGAGUGCAGUGGCACGAUCUUGGCUCACUGCAACCUCCACCUCCCGAGUUCAAGCGAUUCUCCUGCCUCACCCUCCUGAGUAGCUGGGACUACAGGCCUGCGCCACCACACCUGGCUAACUUCUGAAUAUCAAGCUGAAAUUACUAUCAGAUAUCUUGCCACCACAUAGAGGCUUUGAGUGAAGUCUGCAUGGAGGAGAACAGAGCUGAGAGAUGGAAAGAUACUGAAUCCCAGUGACGUCCUUUGAGAUGUCGGAUCAAGCUGAGCUGGGCAUGAAGAUAGAGCUACUCCUAUACUUUUAAGAUACCAAUAACAAGCAAGAUUCAGAAGUCCAACAAGUAAGACAUUGAUUUCAUUAAGAGAGAACUAGUAAGCAAGCUAUUUGGGAAGUACACUCUCAUAAGAAUAUUGUUUCAUGAAGUCUUGAGCAACAAAGGAAAUAGUAAGUGUCCAUGAAGUGCACUGCUGUCAGACUCCCUCUAAGAAUACUUCAACUGCUCAUGAAGCGGGGGGCCUUAACUAUUUACUUCUUUUGGAAGCCUCCAUCUGGCCCAUCUAUCUUUAUUCU
RNAcentral lists this long non-coding RNA (839 nucleotides) under Homo sapiens (human). RNAcentral describes it as "HSALNT0064880". Lineage: Eukaryota; Metazoa; Chordata; Mammalia; Primates; Hominidae. The record is from RNAcentral.